GAAGUAAUAGUUUUCAACUAUCAAUGGGCUAUUCUGUGGCUCUAUGAGGCCGUCAUCAGACCCAUGAUAUGUCAUGGGUCGGUGGUGUGGUGGCCGAGACUAGACAUAGAGAGAGCGCGGAAAGAGCUAGGGGAAAUUCAAAGGCUAGUGUGCAUUUGCAUAACUGGAGCUAUGAAGACCACAGCUACCGCGGCCAUGGAGACACUGCUGAAUGUACCACCGCUCGACCUGAUAAUUCAGGCUAGAGCCUUCGCCACGGCGGAUCGGUUGGUGCAAAAUGGCUUGUGGACUUCUAACUUCCGGGCAGGGCAUGGGAAAAUAUGUGGCGUGGUAGAAAGCCCAGUUUUCGGCAUGCCCAGAGACCGGAUGACACCGGUGAUUGACUUCACGAAGCGAUUCGACGCUACCUUCUUAGGCAGAGCAGACUGGCUUAACGGCUGGCCUACUGGCCUAUCAAGGGGAAGUAAAGUCAGAUUCACUGACGGUUCGAAAACUCCAAAUGGAACAGGAGCUGGAGUGUAUGCCCCCGAAACGGGGCUAGGCAAUUCCUUCCACCUGGGAGAGAUCGCCAGCGUACCUCAGGCGGAGCUUUAUG
This is a long non-coding RNA of Bradysia coprophila, 595 nucleotides long. NCBI's taxonomy places the organism in Eukaryota, Metazoa, Arthropoda, Insecta, Diptera, Sciaridae. The record is from RefSeq and is a predicted model, not a curated record.